UACGGAGGGGGCUAGCGUUAAUCGGAAUCACUGGGCUUAAAGCGUACGUAGGCGGUUUUUCAAGUCAGAAGUGAAAGCCCAGGGCUUAACCCUGGAACUGCUUUUGAAACUGGAUAACUAGAGUCCCAGAGAGGUUGGCGGAAUUCCGAGUGUAGAGGUGAAAUUCGCAGAUAUUCGGAGGAACACCAGUGGCGUAGGCGGCCAACUGGACGGGUACUGACGCUGAGGUACGAAAGCGUGGGGAGCAAACAGG
This 253-nucleotide unclassified non-coding RNA is filed under the name Alphaproteobacteria bacterium. RNAcentral describes it as "contains 16S-23S intergenic spacer region". It matches the Rfam family "Bacterial small subunit ribosomal RNA", at positions 524 to 776 of the family's 1533-position model. The record is from RNAcentral. Lineage: Bacteria; Pseudomonadati; Pseudomonadota; Alphaproteobacteria.